RNAcentral lists this ribosomal RNA (536 nucleotides) under Penaeus pulchricaudatus. RNAcentral describes it as "partial large subunit ribosomal RNA". It matches the Rfam family "Bacterial large subunit ribosomal RNA", at positions 1809 to 2607 of the family's 2925-position model. Lineage: Eukaryota; Metazoa; Arthropoda; Malacostraca; Decapoda; Penaeidae. The record is from RNAcentral.
AAAAACAUGUCUAUAUGAUUGUUAUAUAAAGUCUAGCCUGCCCACUGAUUUGUUUUAAAGGGCCGCGGUAUAUUGACCGUGCGAAGGUAGCAUAAUCAUUAGUCUUUUAAUUGGAGGCUUGUAUGAAUGGUUGGACAAAAAGUAAGCUGUCUCGGUUAUAAUAAUUGAACUUAACUUUUAAGUGAAAAGGCUUAAAUGUUUCAGGGGGACGAUAAGACCCUAUAAAGCUUGACAAUAAUUUCGUUAUAUUAUAAAUUGUUAGUAUAACUUGAUUUUAACGGGAGUUUGUUUCGUUGGGGCGACGGGAAUAUAAUAAAUAACUGUUCUUUUAAAUAUAAUUACAAAAAUACUUGGUAAAUAAUUGAUCCUCUAUUAGAGAUUAAAAGAUUAAGUUACUUUAGGGAUAACAGCGUAAUCUUCUUUGAGAGUCCACAUCGACAAGAAGGUUUGCGACCUCGAUGUUGAAUUAAGGUAUCCUUAUAAUGCAGCAGUUAUAAAGGAGGGUCUGUUCGACCUUUAAAUCCUUACAUGAUCUG